This 428-nucleotide ribosomal RNA is filed under the name uncultured bacterium. Its description in RNAcentral is "partial 16S ribosomal RNA". It matches the Rfam family "Bacterial small subunit ribosomal RNA", at positions 354 to 796 of the family's 1533-position model. The record is from RNAcentral.
GUAGGGAAUAUUGCGCAAUGGGGGAAACCCUGACGCAGCGACGCCGCGUGAGUGAUGAAGGCCUUCGGGUCGUAAAGCUCUGUUGCAGGGGAAUAAAAAAAUGAAGGUACCCUGUGAGGAAGGAUCGGCUAACUUCGUGCCAGCAGCCGCGGUAAGACGAGGGAUCCUAGCGUUGCUCGGAAUCAUUGGGCGUAAAGAGGGCGUAGGUGGCUUGGUAAGUCAGGUGUGAAAGCCCAGGGCUCAACCCUGGAAGUGCAUUCGAUACUGCUGAGCUUGAGUGUCGGAGAGGUUACCGGAAUACCUGGUGUAGUGGUGAAAUACGUAGAUAUCAGGUGGAACACCGGAGGCGAAGGCGGGUAACUGGACGAACACUGACACUGAGGCCCGAAAGCGUGGGGAUCAAACAGGAUUAGAUACCCUUGUAGUCC